Gordionus sp. m RMFG-2023 is the source of this 1399-nucleotide long non-coding RNA. RefSeq lists it as uncharacterized. The transcript is spliced from 4 exons. The record is from RefSeq and is a predicted model, not a curated record. Lineage: Eukaryota; Metazoa; Nematomorpha; Gordioida; Chordodea; Parachordodidae.
CAGAUCUAUGUAUGGUAUACUUAAAAAUUUGGCUCGUCUAUUAAAAAAAAAGAAGAUUGAAUUGGAAGAUAAAAAUAUAAAAAAAUAUAUAUGGGAAGAAUUCAUUGGGGGAUUAUAACUCCUAUAAUGAUGAGAGGACAAGAGUUGCUCACUUCCAAAUAGUUAAUAUUUGUGGAUUCCACAUCUUGUUGUGAUAGUGAUAAUUCUACUAUCACACUAAGGCUUACUGCAACUAAAGCAGGUGCAAUACCAAUUGCCAUUUUUUGCACAGGGGAUAUUCCAUGGAGAGUUAUAAGAAUGUGUUUUCUCUGUUCAAGGAGCACUACCCACAGGAAUUUGGUGGAAAUAAUGUAAAUUUCUAAUGUCUUAAAGAUUUGGCCAUCUACUUAAUUAUUAUGCCAAUUUUAUGUAGCACGAGCAUAUAGAAGUCAUAUACAAAAAAGUCAGGAAAUUGAUACAUCACAUAACAAGAUCUUAAUGUGUUAUAUUAAAAAGAAUACUAACCUCACCUAAAUUAUGGUAAGAAUGAAUAUUAUUAAAUUUAAAAUAGCAAAUUAAAUUAUAUUUAGUUAAUUGAAAAAUAAACAUUUAUCUCAUAUUAAUUUUAGCGUAAGUUAUAUUCAAUCAAAGUAAAAUUUAUUAAUUUUUAUAAAAUUAUUUUUAAAUUACAAUUUAGAUUUAACAAAUAAAUUUAAAUUAUUUACCACACCAAAAUAUGGCAGUAAAAUUUUUUUUAUCUCAACCACAAUAAAUAUGGGAGCUCUGCAAAUAGUAUAAAAUACCUAUUUAUCAAUAUCUUCCCAUGCCAGAAAAUUAACCUCCAUCACUAUUCCUAACCAAAAUAAACAUUUAUCUCAUAUUACCACUCAAAAUAUGCCAGUAUAAAAUUUUUAUCACAACAAUACUUGAACUCUGGAAAUGAUAUAUGAUAUAUAUUAUCAAAUAAUAAUACAUUUAUUUAACAUUAUAAAUAUAUGUCAAUCAAUUUAUAGUUGAUAAUGAGAAAAAUAAUAUAGAUAUUGAUUGUUUAUUACAUAUUUAUGGAUAUUGAUAAAUAUCACGGAUGGAUAUAAAAAGUUGGUAGUUCUUUGUUUUAUAAUUAAGAAUUAGUUUUUAUUUUAUGAAAAAAACUUGGUACUUGAUAUACUUUUCGACGGAAUAUAUUUGAAUAAAAACGAUUACAAAAAAUAGUUGUAAUUUUGAAUUAAAGUUAUACUUAUUUUAAUGGUACCGACCGACCAGGACCAGUACCCGUGAACACUUAUUAGGGAAAAAUAAGAAAAUUUAAAAAAAAACAAAAACAAAAUAGUGAAUAUUUUUGUUAGAGAAUUUUAGAUAUUAUAAAGGAAGAACAAUUUCUAGGACCGGGUUCCUCAAAAUAAUAUUAAUUCUGGAUAUA